GUUUUAAGAAAAUUUAUUUAAAAUAUGUCCUGCUCAAUGAUUAUUUAAAUAGCUGCAGUAUAUUAACUGUACAAAGGUAGCAUAAUAGAUUGUCUUUUAAUUGGAGACUAGAAUGAAUGGAUGAACGAAAUUAAGACUGUUUUUAAGAUGUAGGUAAAAAUUAAUAUUAUAGUGAAGAGGCUAUAAUGUUAUUAAAAGACAGAGAGACCCUUAGAGCUAUUAUUUAAGGCUAAUUUAGAUGUGUGGUUACAAUUGCUAUAUAUAGGUUAUAUUUUGACUGGGGUGGUUUAAGAAUAUAUAUAACUUCUUUUAAGAUUAUGAUCAAGGGUCUAUCAAAGAAAGUUUAAAAUUUUAUGACUAGUUACCUAAGGGAUAACAGAUUAAUUUUUUUUGAGAGUUCUUAUUGAUAAAGGAGAUUAAUACCUCGAUGUUGGCUUAAAAUUACCUAUAGAUGCAGAAGUUUAUAAGGUUGGUUUGUUCAACCAUUAAAAUUUUACGUGAUCUGAGUUCAGACC
RNAcentral lists this ribosomal RNA (515 nucleotides) under Sphaerodoropsis sp. RNAcentral describes it as "partial large subunit ribosomal RNA". It matches the Rfam family "Bacterial large subunit ribosomal RNA", at positions 1830 to 2617 of the family's 2925-position model. Lineage: Eukaryota; Metazoa; Annelida; Polychaeta; Phyllodocida; Sphaerodoridae. The record is from RNAcentral.